AAUGAACGUUGGCGGCGUGGAUUAGGCAUGCAAGUCGAGCGAGAACCGUAGCAAUGCGGGGACAGCGGCGAAAGGGAGAGUAACGGGUGGGUACCUGCCCUCGGAUCUGGGAUAGCCACGGGAAACUGUGGGUAAUACCAGAUGAUGUCUUCGGACCAAAGGUGUGAUUCCGUCCGAGGAGGGGCCCGCUUCCUAUUAGCUAGUUGGUGGGGUAAUGGCCUACCAAGGCAUUGAUGGGUACGGGGUGUGAGAGCAUGACCCUGCUCACUGGGACUGAGAUACUGCCCAGACACCUACGGGUGGCAG
Molecule: ribosomal RNA, 306 nt
Filed under: uncultured Planctomycetota bacterium
Lineage: Bacteria; Pseudomonadati; Planctomycetota
Description: bacterial SSU rRNA
Rfam family: Bacterial small subunit ribosomal RNA
Source: RNAcentral